This 253-nucleotide ribosomal RNA is filed under the name uncultured bacterium. RNAcentral describes it as "partial 16S ribosomal RNA". It matches the Rfam family "Bacterial small subunit ribosomal RNA", at positions 524 to 776 of the family's 1533-position model. The record is from RNAcentral.
UACGAAGGGGACUAGCGUUGUUCGGAAUCACUGGGCGUAAAGCGCACGUAGGCGGAUAUGUCAGUCAGGGGUGAAAUCCCGGGGCUCAACCUCGGAACUGCCCUUGAUACAGCAUAUCUUGAGUCCGAUAGAGGUGGGUGGAAUUCCUAGUGUAGAGGUGAAAUUCGUAGAUAUUAGGAAGAACACCGGUGGCGAAGGCGGCCCACUGGAUCGGUACUGACGCUGAGGUGCGAAAGCGUGGGGAGCAAACGGG